RNAcentral lists this ribosomal RNA (253 nucleotides) under uncultured bacterium. RNAcentral's name for it is "partial 16S ribosomal RNA". It matches the Rfam family "Bacterial small subunit ribosomal RNA", at positions 524 to 776 of the family's 1533-position model. The record is from RNAcentral.
UACGUAGGUGGCAAGCGUUGUCCGGAUUUAUUGGGUUUAAAGGGUGCGUAGGCGGUCUAUUAAGUCAGUGCUGAAAUAUCCCGGCUUAACCGGGAGGGUGGCAUUGAUACUGAUGGACUUGAGUAGAGUUGAGGUUGGCGGAAUUGACGGUGUAGCGGUGAAAUGCUUAGAUAUCGUCAAGAACACCUAUUGCGAAGGCAGCUAACUAAGCUCAAACUGACGCUGAGGCACGAAAGCUAGGGGAGCAAACGGG